Molecule: ribosomal RNA, 835 nt
Filed under: uncultured bacterium
Lineage: Bacteria
Description: bacterial SSU rRNA
Rfam family: Bacterial small subunit ribosomal RNA
Source: RNAcentral
GGAAUUNCUGGGCGUAAAGCGAGCGCAGACGGUUACUUAAGCAGGAUUUGAANUCCCCGGGCUUAACCUGGGAACUGCNUUCUGAACUGGGUGACUAGAGUGUGUCAGAGGGAGGUAGAGUUCCACGUGUAGCAGUGAAAUGCGUAGAGAUGUGGAGGAAUACCGAUGGCGAAGGCAGCCUCCUGGGAUAACACUGACGUUCAUGCUCGAAAGCGUGGGUAGCAAACAGGAUUAGAUACCCUGGUAGUCCACGCCCUGAACGAUGUCAAUUAGCUGUUGGGCAACUUGAUUGCUUAGUAGCGUAGCUAACGCGUGAAAUUGACCGCCUGGGGAGUACGGUCGCAAGAUUAAAACUCAAAGGAAUUGACGGGGACCCGCACAAGCGGUGGAUGAUGUGGAUUAAUUCGAUGCAACGCGAAGAACCUUACCUGGUCUUGACAUGUACGGAAUCCUCCAGAGACGGAGGAGUGCCUUCGGGAGCCGUAGCACAGGUGCUGCAUGGCUGUCGUCAGCUCGUGUCGUGAGAUGUUGGGUUAAGUCCCGCAACGAGCGCAACCCUUGUCAUUAGUUGCCAUCAUUUAGUUGGGCACUCUAAUGAGACUGCCGGUGACAAGCCGGAGGAAGGUGGGGAUGACGUCAAGUCCUCAUGGCCCUUAUGACCAGGGCUUCACACGUCAUACAAUGGUCGGUACAGAGGGUAGCCAAGCCGCGAGGUGGAGCCAAUCUCACAAAACCGAUCGUAGUCCGGAUUGCACUCUGCAACUCGAGUGCAUGAAGUCGGAAUCGCUAGUAGUCGCAGGUCAGCAUACUGCGGUGAAUACGUUCCCGGGUCUUG